This 262-nucleotide ribosomal RNA is filed under the name uncultured bacterium. RNAcentral describes it as "partial 16S ribosomal RNA". It matches the Rfam family "Bacterial small subunit ribosomal RNA", at positions 91 to 354 of the family's 1533-position model. The record is from RNAcentral.
CGGACCGGCGGACGGGUGCGUAACGCGUAUGUAACCUACCUUUGACAGGGGGAUAACACUGAGAAAUUGGUACUAAUACCCCAUAAUAUCUCAUGCGGCAUCGCAUGGGGUUGAAAACUCCGGUGGUUGAUGAUGGGCAUGCGUUGUAUUAGCUGGUUGGUGAGGUAACGGCUCACCAAGGCGACGAUACAUAGGGGGACUGAGAGGUUAACCCCCCACAUUGGUACUGAGACACGGACCAAACUCCUACGGAAGGCAGCAG